UGAUAUUCUUGGCCAGUCCUCGAAGCACC
This 29-nucleotide non-coding RNA is filed under the name Rattus norvegicus (Norway rat). The record is from RNAcentral. Lineage: Eukaryota; Metazoa; Chordata; Mammalia; Rodentia; Muridae.